RNAcentral lists this long non-coding RNA (2059 nucleotides) under Brassica rapa (field mustard). RNAcentral describes it as "long non-coding RNA (BRAP_LNC001666)". Lineage: Eukaryota; Viridiplantae; Streptophyta; Magnoliopsida; Brassicales; Brassicaceae. The record is from RNAcentral.
AUACAAGAAAUUGAAAGAGCAAAACAACCCAAGUGAAGCAGGCUAGAUGAAGAUGAACCUGGCUAAUGAAGCUGAAAUUUGGAGGAGCGUUUGUUUUGGGUUGAUGAUUUCACUAAUCUUGGAAGUUGGAUUUGGAGGAGUUUAAUGGAUCAUAGGGACACAGCAAGACAAUUUAUAACCUGCACCGUUAUGUCUGGCCGGAAUGCACUCUUCUGGUUGGAUGAUUAGACUGGGAUGGGUUCUCUUUUGCAUCUAACGGGACCCUCAGGAAUCUCCUUUUCUGCCUAUGUCUUUGAGGCGUUAAAUGAAGGACGGUGGAUUGCUUCUCGCAGCAGACAUCCGACUCUAGCUCUGCUACGGUCGUGCAUGCCUUCUCCGCUCCCUUCUCUGGAUUCUUCAGAGCCUGACUUCUAUUUUUGGAAGAACUCCCCUCAUGAUUCACCAGAUAGGUUUUCUGCCUCCAAGGUUUGGCAUUUCCUAAAUCCUAUUGAAAGCCCGGUGACUUGGUUUUCUCUGGUCUGGUUCAAACAAAAAAUCCCUAAGCAUGCAUUCAUUGCUUGGCUUGCGUUCAGAGAUCGUCUAAGCUCAUGGGGUAUUCAGGUUUCACCAGGUUGUAUGUUGUGUGGUGAUGAAAAUGAACCCACCGCUUUCCUUUGAAGAUGUGGAGGCUUGGCUGAGGUCCUCGGCACUUUGCAGAGAACUGAAGCCUCUUGUUCUCCUAAUAUUUCAAGCAGUGAUCUAUUUUCUAUGGAAGGAGCGAAAUUCCUGAUUUCAUAAUUCAUUAAGCAAGCCUUCUCAAGUUGUUAUAAAGGAAAUCCAGCUUCAAAUAAGAGCAAGACUUCUGGGUCUGGAACGGGAGAGACUGUCCACUUCUCAUUCAGUUACCACAGCAGCUUCAAGACACACAAGAACAAGAACAUAUCAUCACAAACUUCGUUCCCUUGGGCUGCAAACAACAAGCCCAAAAACCACAGAGACUAUUCUUUCCUCUUGUAACCAAACUCAAUUAGUACCUCUAGUCUAUUUGCCUCUCUUCGCUUCUAUCCACAGACUCCUUAGUCUCUCUCUGUCAGGGAUCAGAUUCAGGGUCCUUCAUGGCUAGGAACAAUCGAAUGGCUAAUAGGUUAAUUUAACGAAAUAAUUGAAGAUUACCGAGAUGCGAAUAGUUAUUGUAAUUUGUACUCUAUUAAUAAUUAAUUGUGCCUCGGCCACAUCUCUGUGUCCACCGACUAUUUUUACGUUAUAGUAUUCCAGUGACGUAUAUCCCUCUAACUGAUUCAAACCACAUUUACAGCUACACGUGUAAAAUAUUUCGAAAUAAAAAAGUGAAUAAAAAAGGAAUUAAAACAAUUAUCCUGCGCGCUGUACCAACUACAAAGUCGUAUUAAUCAGUGACUAAUUAAAUCUCCAAAAGGACAGUUUAGGGGGUGUUAGUGGGGAUGAGAUUUAUAAUGAGUCUUAAAAUUUCUAAGUCUAGUGUUAUUGGUUUAUAGAUUCUCAUCUUCUCAUUGAAAUCUAUUGUUAUUGGUUUGAUGAUUCUAUAACUCUAUACAAAAUCAUUUGUUAUUCAAAAAGUUUAGAUUUUAAUGAUUCUACAAAUCUAUUAAAGUAAGUGUUAUUGGAAGUUGAAUUCUUAUCCUUUUAACUCACAAAUUAAGAUUUUGAGAAUACUACAUGUUUACCUUGAAUUCUUAGAAUCAUUACAUUACUUUAUUUUCAUAGAUUUUCACAAUAUACAAAAUUCUCUACAUCUCUUUCCAAAUUUAACAAAUCUCUCAACUUUUAAAAUCAACAAACUCUAUAGAAAUCUAAGUCCCACUAACACCCCCUUAUAUUCUUUUUCUUUUUCAGCAGGCCACGAUAUAUAUAAAAAGGUACAAAACUUCUUCAAGGAUAGUCGACAAAGAAGAAUACAUUACCUAACAAAAAUGAUGAUGAAAGAUGUUCAAAACAUGAGAUCCGAGAAGAUUAGUGCCAAGGACGAACCUUUUCAGUCACCAGGAGAUUACGUUAGAUUCAUAAGCCCAGAGGUUUACAAAUCCAACAGACAGAAAUAUCU